UACGAAGGGGGCUAGCGUUGUUCGGAUUUACUGGGCGUAAAGCGCACGUAGGCGGACUAUUAAGUCAGGGGUGAAAUCCCGGGGCUCAACCCCGGAACUGCCUUUGAUACUGGUAGUCUUGAGUUCGAGAGAGGUGAGUGGAAUUCCGAGUGUAGAGGUGAAAUUCGUAGAUAUUCGGAGGAACACCAGUGGCGAAGGCGGCUCACUGGCCCGGUACUGACGCUGAGGUGCGAAAGCGUGGGGAGCAAACAGG
RNAcentral lists this ribosomal RNA (253 nucleotides) under uncultured bacterium. RNAcentral describes it as "partial 16S ribosomal RNA". It matches the Rfam family "Bacterial small subunit ribosomal RNA", at positions 524 to 776 of the family's 1533-position model. The record is from RNAcentral.